CUGACCCUGCGGUGUUCGAACUUGCCAUAUACUCCUUGAACCAUUCUGUUGCAAAGGUUGUGGAAUAUGUUCGAUGGGCGUGAGCGUCGCUCGUUCGAUGAACCCGAAAUUGAACUGACUACGACCACCUGAGCCAUUUCGGUUCGGGAUGCCGGCAAAAAACGGCACAGGCGGGGCACA
Molecule: non-coding RNA, 180 nt
Filed under: Massilia terrae
Lineage: Bacteria; Pseudomonadati; Pseudomonadota; Betaproteobacteria; Burkholderiales; Oxalobacteraceae
Description: 6S RNA
Rfam family: 6S / SsrS RNA
About the family: E. coli 6S RNA was the first non coding RNA to be sequenced, but its function was unknown until recently. It consists of 184 nucleotides that fold into an extended hairpin structure with a large single-stranded internal bulge.
Source: RNAcentral